CAUCAGCAGGUGUUGGGUGAUGCUGGGGACCCGUGUCAGGCGCAUUAGACCCCUAGUGAGUUUUGCUCAUGCAGAAUCCAAAACUCUGUAUUCCAACACGUGUUUUCUGAGCAUCUACUUGCACUCUGACCUCACACUAGGAAUCUUGGAAGGUAGAAAACCAGGACGCCUCAGUCCCUGCUUCUUCAGAGCUGCGGUACGAGUACAUACCACCUACACUGAGAGUCAGGCAGUGCCAUGGCUGGCCCCCAAGAAGUCCCCCAAUGGGCCAAUAACCCCCUCACCUGGCAUUCACCACUGUGUGCGAUGUCUCCUCCCGACAGCUCCAGGUUGGCGUGUGAGACCGCAGUGCACAACACACUACUCCAAAGUGAGGUUGUACAAACGGCCACUUCUGUCUGGGGCAUUUUGCCUUCUGGCUGCCUCUCCUUGGGGUUCAGCUGUCAUAGGAAGAAGUCUAGGUGUUGCUGCUGGAGAGGCCACCUGGAGAAGAAAGACCCAGGAGGGUGAGAGGCUGCCUGGAGGGGAAUGGAAGCACAACUCCACCUGCCAGCCCUUUGAGCCAGCCUUCUUCCCAGCAGGAGAAGACACGCUGGCUCUACAUUUGCCGAAAUCUUCACCAGGCUUUAGCCCCUGGCUGACUUGGGUUUGACUUUCCACCUCUCUCCAACCACUCCUGGGAAGCUGCUGUGGCUGGAAUCACCACUGUCCCCAGGUGACCGCCUCCGCCCUGUGCUCCAGGACGUGCCACCUGGCUCAACCUCAGCAGACCCCCUGUCCCUCUUGUUCUUCCUCCUCCUAUCCCAGAACUGGUCUCUUUUCUCUCCACAUUCAGAUAAUUUCAGACAGCCUCAGGUGAAGGUGAUCAAAGUGGCAUGCUCAUUCUGUGGGAUUAUUUCAGAGGAAAUGAAAACAAUGGUGGUUGGAUUCUGGCAGUUUCAAUGAUCUCCCGAUCAGGAAGCAACUGGCUGUCAGCGCUUGCCUUUGUUUUCCUCAUGACCACUCACAGCAAUGCAAUCCAGCACUUGUCCUUUCUGCACCUGGUGACAGGUGCCUGGGUAACGGGGGCCCCGCCUUAGCCUUGCUAAGGCCCAACGCAGGGGGCUUGGUGCCUCCCGGUCUGACCUCAUCUGUUUGUCCAGCUUGCACAUGGUUCCCAGUACCCCCUGCUCAGCCCUCCCUGCUCUGUUACUUCCCCUCUUCCCCCCACUCCCAGGAGCUUCUGAUCCUCUUUGGUUCCAAAUCAUUUUUUCCUUCCCCAAAUGGAUGGCUCCUUGCAAUACACUGACUAUAGCUGUUUCAUCAGAUACGAAGCUCCUCCCAUUCUUCAAGGAAAGUUCUGCAGUUGGUGCUGAUGUCAUGGAUGUGCCAACUAGUCUCAAUAUCAACGUCCUCACCUUUUUUCAGGGGUCUUACUGCUUCUGGUGACAUCCCUUUCUUAUGCCCUGGUUCUGUGUUAGGACAGUUUCAAGCAGAGCAAUUCUGUUAUCUGUUCCCUUCCCUCCGUCCCUGUUCUCCUCCUCCCUUCUCUUUCUCUCCUCCUCCUUGGUGUUAAUGAGAGCUCCCCGCCCUUCCUCCCCUCUCUCCCUCUCUUCCGCUGUCUCCCUCCCUCCCUUCCUCUCUCUCUGUCUCCCUCUUUCCCUCUCUCUCCCUCUCGCUCCUUCCCUUCUUCCAUUUCUGUGUUUCUCUCUCCCCACCUUUCUGUCUUUCUUCCUCACUUCCUCCCUCCCUUUCCUUCUCUCUCUCUCUCUCUCUCCGCCCCCCCCGCCCCCAUCUGCGUUAAUAAGAGCUGGAAGCCAACAUAUGGAAGCAUGACAUUAUGAGUGUCCACCCUCAGGCGCAGAGCAGGAGGCUGUCCCCCAUCCCUACCAGCCCCAGAAGGGGCAGCUUUCCCCACACUGUGAAAACCUGCAGAACAAGCCUGGAUUGUCUGAGGCUUCCACAGUACUCCGUCAGGACCUGCUGAAAAUCUGGUUACUUAUAAAGCAAUUUGCUCCUGCGGGCUGGUUUGAGAUUAAAAUGGCAAUUAUCUUGCAAAUGACUGUAACUGUCUUUCAUAACUGUGGCGAUGUUUGAGAUGUGACUGACUGCCGUCUGCAGGAUAAUGGGCUUAAUAAACGGUAUCUUCAGUGUAUUGUCAGGGAACAGAACCUAUUAGUUGGGGAUGGGACAAUACUGUAAUUUCAGCUAGAUCGAGUCCAUCCUUCUCCCCAGCCAUGGUCCCCCACCCCCCUUCAGUGGCACGUGCUCAUCAUUGCUCAUCAUUUUUUUCUUAAUAGGACAUUUUUCCUUAGGAUAAUUUGCAAAUUGCUAAUCUGUUACCACCUCUCAUUUCUUUCCUCCUUAAAGUUUUACUUUCCUUGGUUGCCUGGCAGAAAUGCAAGAGAAUAACCCUGUUUGCUGCCAAUAGGCAGGGGUCGUAGUAACAGCCCACAGCAGAGGCACAGCCUGAGAGCCUCAGUGUAGACCGGAGCCACAGUGUAGACCGGAUCCACCGUGUAGACCGGAGCCACACUCAGGGAAUCAGGUAGGAGAGACUGAAGACCCUCAUUUCUCUUUCCUCUCAGGAGAAUAAGAGUUUUAACCAACUGUUUUGCUUCGUGCUGGAGCCAAAGAUUCCUUCCACACACAAUGCUGGGGAGGGAGGUCCAGGGGACUUAGGGCUCCGGUGAUCUGGUCCUCGGCCUGAAGAGGAAUCUGGGAAAGGCUUGGGGUCUCAGGCCCCUCCCCAGGGAGGUGGGAGCUUCCGACAGAGCAGGACCCAGGGACUGGUGCCCUCAGGUUGGGACUGGGAAAGGUGGGUGGGUUACCGGGAUCAGGGCUUGGGGCUCUGUUUUCUAGGCUUGGCCUUAGUUCAGCCAGCACCUCCAGAAGCUGUCGAGACAAGGAAGGGCCUGAAAUACCUUGACAUGUGGCUGUCAUUCCAAUGACCUCAACGUCUAGAUGGCAGGUGACUGGUUUUCACUCAGCUGCGUCUCCCUCAGUCCUCAUCUGUUAAAGGGGACAAGGACACGUGGGCCCAGCAGGCUGAGCAUCUUAUCCAGCAGGGACCAGCCAGCUCACCAGCACCAAGUGGGGGUCCGCUGCCUCUGCCUGCUCUCUCAGCCAUGUGUUCACACUGCACGAACCUGAGAUCCCGGAGAGACAGUCUGAGCUGGGGCGGAUGGGUGCGUGUCCUGUGACCAGAGGCAGCCAUUGGUAUGUUCCCUGAAUUUAGUGUGUGACCAUGGAGGAGAGUGCAAGGGAAAUUUGGAAUAUGCUAGAACCAGGAUGGGAGAGGGAAAUAGAGAAAGCACCAGUAAACCCAGUGGGAGGGCAGGGGUCCAGGGUCUGCUUAGAAUCCUCAAAAGUUGAGCAUGGAGUGACCGGACAAUCCAGCAAUUCUACUUUUGAGAACCACCUGUAAGAAUGGAAAGUAGGGACUCAGAUACAUGUCAGCCCACAUUCACAGCAGCACCACUCAGAACAGCCCGGAGGUGGAAGCAACCCAACUGUCCAUAAAUGGCUGGAUGGAGAAGCAAAAUGUGGUCUCUCCGUAGCAUAAAAUAGAGUGCUAUUCAGUCACAGAACGAAUGAAGUGCUAACACCUGUUAAAACAUGGACAAACCUUGAAAAGCUGCUGCUAACUGAAAGCGGUCAAACGGAAAUGUUCACAUGCUGCAUGAUUUCACCUACAUGACCCAUGCAGAAUAGGUAAAGCCACAGAGGCAAAAGCAGGUUGGUGGUCAUAGGGGCUGGGAGUUGGGAGUGACUGCUUAGUGGGGGCACGGUUUCCUUUUGGGAUGACACUGACAUUGUUGUACAAGACAGAGUUGGCUGGGUAUGGUGGCUCAUGACUGUAAUCCCAGCACUUUGGGAGGCCAAGGUGGGCGGAUCACCUGAGGUCAGGAGUUCGAGACCAGCCGGGCCAACAUGGUGAGAUCCUGUCUCUACUAAAAAUACAAAAAUUAGUUGGGCUUGGUGGAACAUGACUGUAAUCCCAGCUACUUGGGAGGCUGAGGCAAGAGAAUUGCUUGAACCCAGGAGGUGGGGUUUGCAGUGGGCCAAGAUUGUGUCUUUGCACUCCACACUCCAGCCUGGGUGACAGAGAGAGAUUCUGUCUCAAAAAAGGAAGAAGAUGAUGACAGAGUUGAUGGUAAUGUAACACAAAGAAUGUACAACAUGCCAGCAAAUCAUGUUUUAAAAUGGUUCAUUGUACAUCAUUGUACAUCUUAUUUGAGGAGUGUCUGUUCAUGUCUUUUGCCCACUUUUUAAUGAGAUUAUUUGUCUUUCGCGUGUUGAUUUGUUUACGUUCCUUAUAGACUCUGGAUACUAGGCUUUUGCCUGAAAGCGUGGAGGGAAGGAGAGGGGAAGUGCUGAAAAACCAGCUCCCUCCCUGGGUGAUGGGAUCCAUCGUACCUCAAACCUCAGCACCACACAAUAUACCCAUCUAACAAAUCUGCACGUGUACCCCCAAAUCUAAAAUAAAGGCUGA
Callithrix jacchus (white-tufted-ear marmoset) is the source of this 4474-nucleotide long non-coding RNA. Lineage: Eukaryota; Metazoa; Chordata; Mammalia; Primates; Cebidae. The record is from Ensembl.